RNAcentral lists this small RNA (76 nucleotides) under Flavobacterium degerlachei. RNAcentral's name for it is "Flavo-1 RNA". It matches the Rfam family "Flavo-1 RNA". The record is from RNAcentral. Lineage: Bacteria; Pseudomonadati; Bacteroidota; Flavobacteriia; Flavobacteriales; Flavobacteriaceae.
CUCUAGCCCUGAUUGAAGCAAGUAUCCUUUUGUGGCGUUUUCGACACAAAAUAUACUGUGGAAAGCAGGAGGGAAG